ACGGGAGGCAGCAGUCGGGAAUAUUGCGCAAUGGAGGAAACUCUGACGCAGUGACGCCGCGUGCAGGAAGAAGGUUUUCGGAUUGUAAACUGCUUUAGACAGGGAAGAUAGUGACAGUACCUGUAGAAUAAGCUCCGGCUAACUACGUGCCAGCAGCCGCGGUAAUACGUAGGGAGCGAGCGUUAUCCGGAUUUAUUGGGUGUAAAGGGUGCGUAGACGGGAAAUUAAGUUAGUUGUGAAAUCCCUCGGCUUAACUGAGGAACUGCAACUAAAACUGAUUUUCUUGAGUACUGGAGAGGAAAGCGGAAUUCCUAGUGUAGCGGUGAAAUGCGUAGAUAUUAGGAGGAACACCAGUGGCGAAGGCGGCUUUCUGGGCAGAAACUGACGUUGAGGCACGAAAGUGUGGGGAGCAAACAGGAUUAGAUACCCUGGUA
Molecule: ribosomal RNA, 434 nt
Filed under: uncultured Oscillospiraceae bacterium
Lineage: Bacteria; Bacillati; Bacillota; Clostridia; Eubacteriales; Oscillospiraceae
Description: bacterial SSU rRNA
Rfam family: Bacterial small subunit ribosomal RNA
Source: RNAcentral